GAUUAACGCUGGCGGCGUGCCUAACACAUGCAAGUCGAGCGGCAGCGAGUUUUACACUGAAUUCUGGAAGCUUCUAGUUGAAAGAGAAGAUUUAUUCAAGAAUUUUGUGUAAAAUGUCGGCGAGCGGCGGACGGCUGAGUAACGCGUGGGAACGUACCCCAAAGUGAGGGAUAACGCAUCGAAAGGUGUGCUAAUACCGCAUAUGGUCUUCGGAUUAAAGCCUUCGGGCGCUUUGGGAACGGCCUGCGUAAGAUUAGAUAGUUGGUGGGGUAAUGGCCUACCAAGUCGACGAUCUUUAACUGGCUUGAGAGGAUGAUCAGUCAGACUGGAACUGAGACACGGUCCAGACUCCUACGGGAGGCAGCAGUGAGGAAUCUUCCACAAUGGGCGAAAGCCUGAUGGAGCAACGCCGCGUGCAGGAUGAAGGCCUUCGGGUUGUAAACUGCUUUUAUAAGUGAGGAUUAUGACAGUAACUUAUGAAUAAGGAUCGGCUAACUACGUG
This 502-nucleotide ribosomal RNA is filed under the name uncultured bacterium. Its description in RNAcentral is "partial 16S ribosomal RNA". It matches the Rfam family "Bacterial small subunit ribosomal RNA", at positions 28 to 507 of the family's 1533-position model. The record is from RNAcentral.